RNAcentral lists this long non-coding RNA (773 nucleotides) under Vigna radiata. RNAcentral's name for it is "long non-coding RNA (VRAD_LNC011067)". The record is from RNAcentral. Lineage: Eukaryota; Viridiplantae; Streptophyta; Magnoliopsida; Fabales; Fabaceae.
GUUGUUCUUGGGAUAGUUAAACAUUUUGCAAACCACAUCUUUAUUCGCGCAUUUAAUUAAAGGUACUGCCUUCGGGCAGGCGUUGUAGGGUGCUAACACCUUCCCUACGCGUAACCGACUCCCGAACCCAAUCUUUGGUUUUCGUGGACCGUGACUUCUCUUUAUGGUUUUUUCCAUAGUUUUCCAGAAUAAACUAUGGUGGCGACUCCAAAAAAAAAUUUCUUAAAAAUGUUUUCUUUUUUGGAUCGUCGUCCCGUCGCGAUUUUCCGGUUGCGACAGAUGGCGACUCCACUGGGGAUGUCUAUGUGAGAGUCAGGCCAUCUAAAUAAAUGCGCGAAUUUCAAUGUGGUUUUGCUUUAUGUUUUUCUUCCCCUUUUCUUUAUCUAUGUUUGAUGUUUGAAUAAUCGCGUGUGAGUAACUUUAUUUGUGGAUAUUGAACCUUAGGAUAGACAAUAUGUUUAUAUCUGCCUGGGAAUUUUUCUGGUUGUUUUGCAGGUGAGGGUUUGGAUGUGCAUGAUGUUCUCCCUUCACACACACACACUUUCGGCAUAUCAUGAGUGGGGCCCUAUACCCGGGUCUGAGUGUAACUUAGAAUUAGAGGAGUUGUGUAGCGGUGUCACUCUGGGAUGUACUUCCUGUUUGGCUAUCGUGAGAACUUCAGGUCUGUUCUCUUCAUGUGUGUUUCCACACCUAGUUGAUUACUCAACUGUUGUGGAGAUGCUUUGAAGGGGGCCAUAGCUCUAGUGACCUUUGACCUUUAGGUUUAGGGAACC